Molecule: ribosomal RNA, 252 nt
Filed under: uncultured bacterium
Lineage: Bacteria
Description: partial 16S ribosomal RNA
Rfam family: Bacterial small subunit ribosomal RNA
Source: RNAcentral
UACGAGGGGGGCAAGUGUUGUUCGGAAUUACUGGGCGUAAAGGGAGCGUAGGCGGGCUCUUAAGUUGGAUGUUUAAACCGGGGCCUAACCCCGGCGUGGCAUCCAAAACUGGGAGUCUUGAAUGGGACAGAGGCCAGUGGAAUUAGAGGUGUAGCGGUGGAAUGCGUAGAUAUCUCUAAGAACACCAGUUGCGAAGGCGGCUGGCUGGGUCCACAUUGACGCUGAGGCUCGAAAGCGUGGGGAGCAAACAGG